AACCCGCCAUCGAAUGAGGCAAGACUACCCGCUGAACUUAAGCAUAUCACUAAGCGGAGGAGAAGAAACUAACCAGGAUGCCCCUAGUAAUGGCGAAUGAAGCGGGCUGAGCUCACGCUGCCAAUCUGGAGGCCUCGCGUAUGCAGCGCCCCCCGAAUUGUGGUCUAGAGAGGCGUUAUCGGCCGCGCCCGCCGCUCAAGUCCCUUGGAACAGGGUGUCGGAGAGGGUGAGAAUCCCGUACCGUGGCGGGUUGCGGCCUUACGAUGCGUCCUCGUCGAGUCGGGUUGCUUGGGAUUGCAGCUUGAAUUGGGUGGUAAAUUCCAUCUAAAGCUAAAUACUGGCGAGAGACCGAUAGCGAACAAGUACCGUGAGGGAAAGAUGCAAAGAACUUUGAAAAGAGAGUCAAAGAGUGCUUGAAAUCGGUAGGAGGAAACCCGGAUGGGCCCGGCUUCGGCGCGCCGACUCAGCCUGGGGUUCUCCCCAGGUGCACUUCUGCGCGCCGGGUCAGCCGCGCCUCGGCGCCGCGCCUCAACCCGGGAGCGGGGCUUUACGGCCAGCUCCCGUCCUGGCGCGGCCCGGGGCCCGGCUGACGGAACGGGCCCCUCCGACCCGUCUAGAAACACGGACCAAGGAGUCUGACACGUGUGCGAGUACCCGGGUGGCAAGCCCGCGUGCGGAAUGAAAGUGAAGGGCAUGCCCUGCCAACCGACCUUGACCUUCUGUGAGGGGUUUGAGUGGAGCACACCUGUCGGGACCCGAAAGAUGGUGAACUAUGCCUGGGUAGGGUGAAGCCAGAGGAAACUCUGGUGGAGGCUCGUAGCGAUACUGACGUGCAAAUCGUUCGUCGAAUCUGGGUAUAGGGGCGAAAGACUAAUCGAACCAUCUAGUAGCUGGUUCCCUCCGAAGUUUCCCUCAGGAUAGCUUGAACGCAACGGUUUUGUCAGGUAAAGCGAAUGAUUAGAGGCCUGUGGGCUGAAACAGCUUGCACCUAUUCUCAAACUUUAAAUGGGCAAGAGGCCCGGGAUGCUUGAGUGAUCCCGGGCGGCGAACGGCGCGUUCAAAGUGGGCCAUUUUUGGUAAGCAGAACUGGCGAUGCGGGAUGAACCGAACGCCGCGCUAAGGUACCCAAGUGUCCGCUCAUCAGAUACCACAAAAGGCGUUGGUACCUCCAGACAGCAGGACGGUGGCCAUGGAAGUCGGAACCCGCUAAGGAGUGUGUAACAACUCACCUGCCGAAGGUACUAGCCCUGAAAAUGGAUGGCGCUCAAGCGGACCACCGAUGCGCGGCCGCCGGCGCGAGCGCGAGGCGCCGGCGAGUAGGAGGGCGCGGGGCUCGCGGCGCAGCCUUGGGCGCGAGCCUGGGUGAAGCGGGCCCCGGUGCAGAUCUUGGUGGUAGUAGCAAAUAUUCAAAUGAGAACUUUGAAGACUGAAGUGGAGAAAGGUUCCGUGUGAACAGCAGUUGGACACGGGUGAGCCGACCCUAAGAGACAGGAAAACUCCGCCGAACGCGGCUGGUUCUGUCAGCCCGUCCGUCGAAAGGGAAUCGGGUUAAUAUUCCCGAGCCAGCGCGUGGAUGGUGGGCGGCGACGCGAACGAACCCGGAGACGCCGGCGGGAGCCCUGGGAAGAGUUCUCUUUUCUUCUUAACUGCCUCCUGCCCUGGAAUCGGUUUAGCCGGAGCGAGGGCUACACGGCAGGCAAAGCACCCUAAGUCUUGGGGUGUCCGGCGCGCUCCCGACGGCCCGUGAAAAUCCGGGGGAGCGGUUCGUUCUCACGCCUGGUCGUACUCAUAACCGCAUCAGGUCUCCAAGGUGAACAGCCUCUAGUCGAUAGAGCAAUGUAGGUAAGGGAAGUCGGCAAAAUGGUUCCGCAACCUCGGGAGAAGGAAUGGCUCUGAAGGCUGGGCGCAGGGGUCCUAGGCUCGAGGCCGGCUGGCUGCGCGGGGACUACGGCCUCACGGCUGCGGAUCCCGCGCGGCCGUCCGGCGGACGGCCUAGGAGCGCUCCGGCUCUCCCUGCGCGACGAACAGCCGCUUCAGAACUGGCGCGGACAAGGGGAAUCCGACUGUUUAAUUAAAACAAAGCAUUGCGAUGGCCCGCGAGGGUGCUGACGCAAUGUGAUUUCUGCCCAGUGCUCUGAAUGUCAAAGUGAAGAAAUUCAACCAAGCGCGGGUAAACGGCGGGAGUAACUAUGACUCUCUUAAGGUAGCCAAAUGCCUCGUCAUCCAAUUAGUGACGCGCAUGAAUGGAUUCGUGAGAUUCCCACUGUCCCUAUCUACUGUCUAGCGAAACCACAGCCAAGGGAACGGGCUUGGAAGAAUCAGCGGGGAAAGAAGACCCUGUUGAGCUUGACUCUAGUCUGUUACUGUGGAACGACUUGAUGGGUGUAGAAUAUGCGGGAGGGGCAACCCGACAGUGAAAUACCGCAACCGUCAACGUUGUUUUACUUACUCGGUGGCGCGGAGGGAGGCUCGCCUCACUUCUGGAUCCAAGCCGCUUCGUGCGCGCGAUCCGCGUCGGGGACACUAACAGGUGGGGAGUUUGGCUGGGGCGGCACGUCUGUUAAAAAAUAACGCAGGCGCCCGAUUUUGAGCUCAAUGAGAACAGAAAUCUCAUGUGGACCGAAAGGGGAAAAGCUCGGUUGAUUUUGAUUUUCAGUACGAAUACAAACCGCGAAAGCGUGGCCUAUCGAUCCUCUCGUCUUUGGGAAUUUCAAGCUAGAGGUGUCAGAAAAGUUACCACAGGGAUAACUGGCUUGUGGCUGCCAAGCGUUCAUAGCGACGUAGCUUUUUGAUCCUUCGAUGUCGGCUCUUCCUAUCACUGCCUCGCAGCGGGGGCCAAAUGCAGGAUUGUUCACCCACCAACAGGGAACGUGAGCUGGGUUUAGACCGUCGUGAGACAGGUUAGUUUUACCCUACUGCUGUCUGUUUUUCUACGGUAAUUUGGUUCAGUACGAGAGGAACCACCAAUUCGCAUCAUCGGUAUAGCCGCCGCCGGAAACGGCGAUGCGGCGAAGCUGCCAUGCGCCGGAUUAUAACUGAACGCCUCUAAGUUAGAAUCCAUGCCGGAAGGAAAGCCACCUACCGGCCCGGGGACGCCACGAGCAACGGUAGCACUGCCUGAGCCGCGAGCGACCACAAUUCACGGACCCGGGCCGACGAAUCCCUUGCAGACGACUUG
This 3178-nucleotide ribosomal RNA is filed under the name Emiliania huxleyi CCMP1516. RNAcentral describes it as "eukaryotic LSU rRNA". It matches the Rfam family "Eukaryotic large subunit ribosomal RNA". Lineage: Eukaryota; Haptophyta; Isochrysidales; Noelaerhabdaceae. The record is from RNAcentral.